UACGAAGGGGGCUAGCGUUGCUCGGAAUCACUGGGCGUAAAGCGCACGUAGGCGGCUUUUUAAGUUAGGGGUGAAAUCCUGGAGCUCAACUCCAGAACUGCCUUUGAUACUGAGAAGCUUGAGUCCGGGAGAGGUGAGUGGAACUGCGAGUGUAGAGGUGAAAUUCGUAGAUAUUCGCAAGAACACCAGUGGCGAAGGCGGCUCACUGGCCCGGUACUGACGCUGAGGCACGAAAGCGUGGGAGCAAACAGG
RNAcentral lists this ribosomal RNA (252 nucleotides) under uncultured bacterium. RNAcentral describes it as "partial 16S ribosomal RNA". It matches the Rfam family "Bacterial small subunit ribosomal RNA", at positions 524 to 776 of the family's 1533-position model. The record is from RNAcentral.